Molecule: RNA transcript, 1048 nt
Organism: Brassica rapa (field mustard)
Lineage: Eukaryota; Viridiplantae; Streptophyta; Magnoliopsida; Brassicales; Brassicaceae
Gene name: mitochondrial inner membrane protease subunit 2
Source: RefSeq, a predicted model, not a curated record
CCGGCCAAUUUAAGAUUCAAGUUAAAUCCCUCUAGGCAAGACAGAGUGUUUCGUUUCUCAGCUAAAGAAAAACCCAGAUUCUUCACAUCGUCGCGACUUCUGCUUCUCGUCUCCCAUCUUCUUCGCGAAUCCGAUUUGCAGAUGGUUCUAUGCCUGUUUCUGAGAACCACAUAUUAGAUUAGACAUGGGAAUCCAAACUCUUAUAUGGCAAGUGACGAAGAAAGCAUUCACUGGAGGUAUUAUAGGGCUUACCAUUUCAGAUAGGUUUUGUAGCGUUGUUCCUGUGAGAGGAGAUUCCAUGUUUCCCACGUUUAAUCCCCAGAGAGAUUCUUAUUUAGAUGAUUAUGUUCUCGUAGACAAAUUUUGCCUUAAGGAUUACAAGUUUGCGCGUGGUGAUGUUGUAGUGUUCAGCUCUCCGACUCAUUACAGGGAAAGAUACAUAAAAAGGAUAGUGGGGAUGCCUGGGGAAUGGAUAAGUAGUACUGAGGAUGUGAUCAGAGUCCCAGAAGGACAUUGUUGGGUAGAAGGAGAUAAUAAAGCUUCCAGCUUAGACUCAAGAACCUUUGGCCCUAUUCCCUUGGGUUUAAUUGGAGGACGGGUCACUCGUGUCGUGUGGCCUCCUCAAAGACUAAGCAAGAUUGGUGGCUAAAGCUAAUGUAGUAGGCGAAAGAAGAAAAGGUAAAUUUCUUGUCCUCCUCCAGAUGAAAUAUUCUCUUCCUCAAGAUCCAUUGUUGAGGAAUCUGCUUUGAACUAAAGAAUGGUUUUGUCUGGUGUUCGUUUGUUAUAAUGAAAUGGAUCUAUUCUUCUAAAUUCACAUUUCUCAAAUCGGAAUUGAAGUAACGUUUAUGCAUAAUAAUUUUUGUGCUUGUCUUCUAGUGGCCUCUUCGUAAUUACAUAUCAUGUUCAGGGGUGAAUACUACACAACGUGUCAGGUUAGAUUCUCUGCGUUUUUUGAAACUGAUGCUUCGAACUAUGUUUCAAACUUUCAAAACCAUAAUUAAAUAAGAGAGAUGGUACAACUAAGGCUUGUCUGGUUUGAAGUUGGAAU